Molecule: ribosomal RNA, 377 nt
Filed under: uncultured bacterium
Lineage: Bacteria
Description: bacterial SSU rRNA
Rfam family: Bacterial small subunit ribosomal RNA
Source: RNAcentral
CUACGUAGGGUGCGAGCGUUAAUCGGAAUUACUGGGCGUAAAGGGUGCGCAGGCGGUUUUGUAAGUCAGAUGUGAAAUCCCCGGGCUUAACCUGGGAAUGGCGUUUGAAACUGCAAGGCUAGAGUGUAGCAGAGGGGAGUGGAAUUCUGCGUGUAGCAGUGAAAUGCGUAGAUAUGCGGAGGAACACCGAUGGCGAAGGCAGCUCCCUGGGCUAACACUGACGCUCAUGCACGAAAGCGUGGGGAGCAAACAGAAUUAGAUACCCUGGUAGUCCACGCCCUAAACGAUGUCAACUAGUUGUCGGGCCUAAUUGAGGAUUUGGUAACGUAGCUAACGCGUGAAGUUGACCGCCUGGGGAGUACAAUCGCAAGAUUAAA